This 500-nucleotide ribosomal RNA is filed under the name uncultured bacterium. RNAcentral's name for it is "partial 16S ribosomal RNA". It matches the Rfam family "Bacterial small subunit ribosomal RNA", at positions 30 to 523 of the family's 1533-position model. The record is from RNAcentral.
AUUGAACGCUAGCGGAAUGCUUUACACAUGCAAGUCGAACGGCAGCACGGACUUCGGUCUGGUGGCGAGUGGCGAACGGGUGAGUAAUGUACCGGAACGUGCCCAGUCGUGGGGGAUAACGUAGUGAAAAUUACGCUAAUACCGCAUACGAUCUAUGGAUGAAAGCGGGGGAUAGCAAGACCUCGCGCGAUUGGAGCGGCCGAUAUCAGAUUAGGUAGUUGGUGGGGUAAAGGAGCACCAAGCCAAAGAUCUGUAGCUGGUCUGAGAGGACGACCAGCCAGACUGGAACUGGGACACGGUCCAGACUCCUACGGGAGGCAGCAGUGGGGAAUGUUGGACAAUGGGCGAAAGCCUGAUCCAGCCAUUCCGCGUGCAGGAUGAAGGCCCUCGGGUUGUAAACUGCUUUUGUACAGAACGAAAAGGUUUCUACUAAUACUAGGAGCUCAUGACGGUACUGUAAGAAUAAGCACCGGCUAACUACGUGCCAGCCGCCGCCGUAA